UUUAAGGAGGAGGCGGAGGCGAUGUUGCUCUGCUACUGCCGGGGUUCGGCAACAUUGUGGCAAGUCCCCUAUCCUGCCGCAGCUCUGAAUUUCUUCCACAAUAGCAAUAUGCUAUACUUAAACAAACUCAUAGAAAUGAGUACUGAUGCCAGCCAACUCUCAAGCUACCAUAUGAGGAACAAUUAAACAGGCGUUGAAGGGACUCCUUGGUUAUCUUAUUGUGAAAUUAUCUUCCUCGUGCAAAAGAUAUUCAUCAUGAACACAAGAUACUCUGCAGAUGCUGGGGUCAAAGCAACACUCACAACAAGCUGGAGGAACUCAGCAGGUUGGGCAGCAUCUGUGGAAGAGAUCGGUCGACGUUUUGGGCCAGAACCCUUCAUCAGGACUGAAGAGGGAAGGGGCAGAGGCCCU
Mobula hypostoma (lesser devil ray) is the source of this 411-nucleotide long non-coding RNA. RefSeq lists it as uncharacterized. The record is from RefSeq and is a predicted model, not a curated record. NCBI's taxonomy places the organism in Eukaryota, Metazoa, Chordata, Chondrichthyes, Myliobatiformes, Myliobatidae. The transcript has 3 exons.